UUCAAGUGCAAUUGUGAGUUUCCGUAUCCAAUGUUUGACUGUCUAUCUUAUUUAAUUUUUUUAUGAUUAAUAUUUUUAUUGUUAUUAGAUGAUAAAUUAUAAAUAAUAUAUUUAUGUGGAUGGUCAAAUGUUGGAUACCAAAACUUACAACCAUACUUAAA
RNAcentral lists this microRNA precursor (161 nucleotides) under Oryza nivara. RNAcentral describes it as "MIR812 microRNA precursor family". It matches the Rfam family "MIR812 microRNA precursor family". Lineage: Eukaryota; Viridiplantae; Streptophyta; Magnoliopsida; Poales; Poaceae. The record is from Rfam by way of RNAcentral.